CUCGUGAGAAAAGCCAAACCAAACCUCCAAGCAAAAAUCUAACAUAUUCUGAAAGCAAUCCAACAGAUUCCUAUUAUGGUAUGUAUUUUGCAGUAUAUAAGGUGUGAAUCCAAUGACUUUUCCGUUUCAAUUGCCACCACCCCAUCACCACAACCACCAUCAUCUCCUUCCCCACCCCACCACCAUCACCAACACCAUCCUCCUUUUUUACUUUUCUUGAUACAACCCUUUUCACAUUUUGUCUCCAAUAAUCACUUAAUAGAGUCCCAUGUAAAUCCAAAUCAGUCUCAUUCUCACUGCAAGUUUAUCUUUCACAUCUUAAUCAGCUAUUCUCUUUCCCCAAAGAAAAAAGUAAAGAAAAGAAAAUCCAAAUCAUUCUCUGCCCUACUGCAGAUUUAAAUCAAAACCCUUUUCUCCUCUCUUGCUAUCUCCAUCAACAUUCAGAUAUCAUUUUCUUUCUCUCUCUCUCUUGACAGAGCACACAGCCGGCCGGGGAUGACGAUGAGAAGAGGCAUUGGUUUGGUUAUACUAGUGUUGGUGGUUUUUGAGAUCCAGACAUGCUUAUCACAGAUUAACAGAGCAAGCUUUCCAAAGGGUUUUGUGUUCGGGACUGCAUCUUCAGCUUUCCAGUAUGAAGGAGCAGUGAAAGAAGAUGGAAGGGGUCCAAGUGUUUGGGACACAUUCUCGCAUUCUUUCGGAAAGGUAAUUGAUUUCAGUAACGCUGAUGUGGCUGUAGAUCAAUACCACCGUUUUGAGGAAGACAUUCAACUCAUGAAGGAUAUGGGCAUGGAUGCCUACAGAUUUUCAAUUUCUUGGUCUAGAAUAUAUCCUAAUGGAACUGGGGCAAUAAAUCAGGCAGGAGUUGAUCAUUAUAACAAGCUCAUCAAUGCUUUGAUUGCAGCAGGAAUUGAGCCAUAUGUGACCAUUUACCAUUGGGACCUUCCUCAAGCCUUGAACGACAGAUACAAUGGAUGGCUCAACCCACAGAUCAUAAAGGACUAUGCAACAUUUGCAGAGACUUGCUUUCAGAAAUUUGGUGAUAGGGUGAAGCAUUGGAUCACAUUCAAUGAGCCUCAUACAUUUACCAUACAAGGGUAUGAUGUAGGUCUUCAGGCUCCAGGACGGUGCUCCAUCCUUCUGCAUUUCCUCUGCAGGGCUGGAAACUCUGCUACUGAACCUUACAUAGUUGCGCACAAUGUCCUUCUUUCUCAUGGAACUGUGGCAGAUAUCUACAAGAGAAAAUACAAGGCAAACCAAGGUGGAUCACUUGGUGUAUCAUUUGAUGUUAUGUGGUUUGAACCAGCAACCAACAGCACAUAUGACAUUGAAGCAACUCAAAGAGCCCAAGAUUUUCAGCUCGGAUGGUUUAUUGAACCUUUGCUGUAUGGGAAUUAUCCAAGUUCAAUGAGAAGUAGAGUUGGAAAACGGCUGCCAACAUUUUCCAAAUCUGAAGCUACUCUUAUUAAAGGGUCCCUGGAUUUUGUGGGAAUUAAUCACUACACUACAUAUUAUGCAAAAAACAAUUCAAAAAGUUUCAUUAAUGAUCUCCUUAAUGACUCCCUAGCAGACUCUGGUGCCAUAACUCUUCCCUUCAGAAACUUGCAGCCUAUUGGAGACAGGGCAAAUUCUAUAUGGUUGUACAUAGUUCCUCAAGGGAUGAGAAGUCUAAUGAAUUACAUCAAGAAAAAGUAUGGAAACAUCCCAAUCUUUAUUACAGAAAAUGGGAUGGAUGACUCAAACACCUAUAUCUCCAUUAAAGAUGUUCUCAAGGAUGAGAAAAGGAUCAAAUACCACAAUGACUAUCUAACAAACUUGUUAGCCUCUAUCAAAGAAGAUGGGUGCAAUGUGAAAGGGUAUUUUGUAUGGUCUUUAUUGGAUAAUUGGGAGUGGGCAGCUGGGUACACUUCAAGAUUUGGUCUCUACUUUGUGGAUUAUAAUGACAAGCUCAAGAGAUACCCUAAGGAUUCUGUUAAAUGGUUCAAAAAUUUCUUGACAGCUAGUUAAAAAUGGAUAAAGUAUGCAAUACAAAUUUGCAAUUGAAUGUUCUAUGCAUGUUUCUUAGGGAACUAUAAUGAAAGUGAAAUAUUGAAUACAUGAUCUCUAUG
Molecule: unclassified non-coding RNA, 2105 nt
Filed under: Hevea brasiliensis (rubber tree)
Lineage: Eukaryota; Viridiplantae; Streptophyta; Magnoliopsida; Malpighiales; Euphorbiaceae
Source: RNAcentral